Molecule: ribosomal RNA, 570 nt
Filed under: Cyathus pallidus
Lineage: Eukaryota; Fungi; Basidiomycota; Agaricomycetes; Agaricales; Nidulariaceae
Description: eukaryotic LSU rRNA
Rfam family: Eukaryotic large subunit ribosomal RNA
Source: RNAcentral
GCGAGUGAGCGGGAAAGCUCAAAUUUAAAAUCUGGUGGUCUUUGGCCAUCCGAGUUGUAAUCUAGAGAAGUGUUACCCGCGUUGGACCGUGUACAAGUCUCCUGGAAUGGAGCGUCAUAGAGGGUGAGAAUCCCGUCUUUGACACGGACUACCAAGGCUUUGUGGUGCGCUCUCAACGAGUCGAGUUGUUUGGGAAUGCAGCUCAAAAUGGGUGGUAAAUUCCAUCUAAAGCUAAAUAUAGGCGAGAGACCGAUAGCGAACAAGUACCGUGAGGGAAAGAUGAAAAGAACUUUGGAAAGAGAGUUAAACAGUACGUGAAAUUGCUGAAAGGGAAACGCUGGAAGUCAGUCGCGUUGGCUAGGAAUCAACCUUACUCUUUUGUAGGGCUUACUUUCUAGUUGACGGGCCAACAUCAAUUUUGAUUGCUGGAAAAGGGCCUAGGGAAUGUGGCACCUUCGGGUGUGUUAUAGCCUUGGGUCGUAUACAGUGGUUGGGAUUGAGGAACGCAGCACGCCGAAAGGUUGGGUCUUUGACCACACUCGUGCUUCGGAUGUUGGCAUAAUGGCUUUC